AUGGAGAUACGGCCAAGGCAAAAGCAAGCAGCAGAGAUGAGCCAGGGAGGAGGAGAGAGGCUACACUUCAUGAUCCAGUCAAAACCAGCCAUGGCACCCAGACAAGGUGCUCUGCAGCUUUCAAAGUGCAUCACAUCCAUUAUCUUCUGUGACCCACAGACAGGUCAGCAAAGCUGGCUGGUGUGAGGUCGCCGAGCCCCGUGCAGGUUGCCCCUCGCAUACCUCUUGCAUCCACUCCUUCCUCUCCGUCGCAUGCCACUGCCCUUGUCAUCUCUCACGGGGCUGUUGCAAUAGCUUCCUGCCUGUCUCCCUGCUCCCAGCCUGUGCCCUCUGUCCUCUCUUGCUGCCUGAGUGAUCUUUCUGCACUGAAAAUUUGUUCAUCCUAUACAGUAGGCUUAACAGCCUCCAAUGGCGCCCAGCAGGUACAGAAUAAAGUCCCAA
This 441-nucleotide long non-coding RNA is filed under the name Cercocebus atys (sooty mangabey). RNAcentral's name for it is "lncRNA (ENSCATG00000045734.1)". The record is from RNAcentral. Lineage: Eukaryota; Metazoa; Chordata; Mammalia; Primates; Cercopithecidae.